GUGAGACUUUUUUUUGACUUUUUGUUUCACAAAUUAUUUUUAGUAUACCAAAAUUAGCCAUGAAGCAGAUGAUGAUCUCAGCAAUGAUGUUAACUAUCAUGAUUUACUCUAGCCAUGGAGAGGAAAUGUCAAAUGAUCACUGAAGCAAGCAGAGACAAAUUCAGAAUUUAGAAUCAGGUUCAGAUUUUAAAUGUUUUAAGUGUUAUGUAAUUAAUAUCAAAAGUUGUUGAGGUCGAUGAACCUGCUCUAAAUCUGCCUCUGAAUGUGUUGGAUACUCAACAAGAGUCCAUCAAGUCAAAUGAAGUGUACAGGUAAAGCAUGGACUCAAGUGAAGAUUAAAAGUACUUUUUAAGUUUCAAAUGCUAAUUAGAAGAGUGCUCACUUCUCAGA
Solanum dulcamara is the source of this 390-nucleotide long non-coding RNA. RefSeq lists it as uncharacterized. Lineage: Eukaryota; Viridiplantae; Streptophyta; Magnoliopsida; Solanales; Solanaceae. The record is from RefSeq and is a predicted model, not a curated record. The transcript is spliced from 2 exons.